GCCAACUUAGCUCAGCUGGCAGCGCAUUUCAUUCGUAAAGUAAGGGUCGUCGGUUCGACGCCGAUAGUUGGCU
RNAcentral lists this transfer RNA (73 nucleotides) under Chitinophagaceae bacterium. RNAcentral describes it as "tRNA-Thr". It matches the Rfam family "tRNA". From Rfam's summary of the family: Transfer RNA (tRNA) molecules are approximately 80 nucleotides in length. Their secondary structure includes four short double-helical elements and three loops (D, anti-codon, and T loops). Lineage: Bacteria; Pseudomonadati; Bacteroidota; Chitinophagia; Chitinophagales; Chitinophagaceae. The record is from RNAcentral.